GGGUCCGCCAGACCAUAGAGAGACCCGCCGUCCUAGAGGGGAAGGACGGUGCCGGCGGGCGGGGCGUCCUCUCUAUCCCGCCGCCGUGCUGCUCUUCCGGACUCGUUGGUGGCGGCGAAAGAGGCGUGCUUUGCUGGGUACGCGGAGCUCAGUUUCAGACGUCAGUUGGUGGAGGCGUGCGCCUGAAGAUGGUGUGAAAACAUUUAAGGGGUAGUAGGUGGGUGUGUUGGUUAGUGUUGGGUCACUUUGACACGUGCAGAGUCCAGAGGAACCUCCGCUGAGAAAAACGCUGCCUCCAGGGCAGAAGAGGUAGCUCUGGGUCCAGGUCCACUCCACAAUACCUGCCCGCAAGAUGAAUUCAAUAUAACUUCGUUGUUGUUCAAAUGAAACCACAUGCUAAUACUUAGAAAUGGAAAUACAUAAAAAAUGUAAUUAGAAGUUACAUUAGAAAAUAAUUAAAUUAGAAAAUGUAAUUAUAUAAUUUUUUUGAUCAUAAGAAUGCAAUGUUGUAUUUCUCUAGUUGGCAUACAAGAAAGCAAUGUUUAAGAAUUGAACCCAUUAUUUUAAAUACUGUUAAAAAUCACAGGGAAAUACUAGUUUCUAUGAGAAUAUAAGGAAAAUGUAUGUUGUACUUUAUUUAUAAUUAAAGACACACCACUGAUUUAACACAUGAA
Molecule: long non-coding RNA, 674 nt
Organism: Meriones unguiculatus (Mongolian gerbil)
Lineage: Eukaryota; Metazoa; Chordata; Mammalia; Rodentia; Muridae
Exons: 2
Source: RefSeq, a predicted model, not a curated record